GCGAUUAAGUGGAGGGGCGACUUCGGUCAAAGCGAAACUUAUGAAAGCGGCGGACGGGUGAGUAACGCGUGGGCAACCUGCCCCAUACAGAGGGAUAGCCACNGGAAACGGUGAUUAAUACCUCAUGAGUCAGUAAGGUCGCAUGAUCUAGCUGACAAAGAUUUAUCGGUAUGGGAUGGGCCCGCGUCUGAUUAGCUAGUUGGUGAGGUAACGGCUCACCAAGGCGACGAUCAGUAGCCGACCUGAGAGGGUGAUCGGCCACACUGGAACUGAAACACGGUCCAGACUCCUACGGGAGGCAGCAAUGGGGAAUAUUGCACAAUGGGCGCAAGCCUGAUGCAACAACGCCCCGUGAGUGAAGAAGGCCUUCGGGUCGUAAAACUCUGUCCUAUGGGAAGAAACAAAUGACGGUACCAUGGGAGGAAGCCCCGGCUAACUACGUGC
Molecule: ribosomal RNA, 444 nt
Filed under: uncultured bacterium
Lineage: Bacteria
Description: bacterial SSU rRNA
Rfam family: Bacterial small subunit ribosomal RNA
Source: RNAcentral